AUUUACUAUCUGGCCUUCUAAGAAAAAAAAUCACCAUAUUCUUAGUACCCAGCACAGUGUGCAACCCAUGCAACGCCUCAAAGAGUUUGCAAGACAAAAUUCCAGUUCAACUUUCUCAAUGUGUGCGUGCCUGCCCUCAUGUGGCCAUCUCACGAAAUCACAGAUACGCUGCCCUGAGACCUUAAGAAAGUCAGGAGGGAUCAGGUCAUCUAAUUUUGUUCCCACACAUUUGUUGAGCACCAAGUCCUGGUAUUUUGACACUGGAUUUUUUGGGGCUUCCGUUUCCUCUUUAAAUAAAUAGGGUAUAAUGUUACUUUAUGGAGUAGUGAGGAUAAAAUAAAAUCGUGGGUUAUGAAAGUGCUGAGUACACUGCAGUGGGUGAACAGGCUAAAGACGUGCGCAGAGCACAUGCCCUGCAAAUGGCAGCUACUCCCAUCUCUUAUUCAUCCCCACCACUCCAUGUUUACUUUCAUGAGGAAGAGUGUGAAAGUGUCCCCAUAUGUGUGUAAGGAUGAGCACUGGGACAAUUUUGGUACCUCUCUUUGUAAACCCAGGUCAGGUACCACCAUGUUGCCCCCCUAACAUGGACCCCCCCCUCUGCUUGGUGACCAUGCCAGCCCACUCUGCCCCACCAGUGAGAACAGGCUCCGGUGGGGCACACUCCCUUCCCUGCUUCUUCAUCUAGUGUCCAAGGCCACGUGUCCAUUUCCUCAGAAGCAGCAGGAAGGACUCGGCCUGAACUGCUGCAAUUGUGGGGAGCCUGGGCCACCACUCUUUCCUACCUGAUAAGCUGAAGUUGGACUGGUGGAGGUUUCUGAUGGGUGGGGGCUGGUGUUUAGAAGGCGAAGAUUUGGCUGAAGGAGCGGGAGUUGCAUAUUUGGGUGUAGCUGGUACCUCGUACACAGGACCGUCAUACAUGCCCCUGGAAACCCCUUGCAAUCCAAAAACCUAAACAGAGGAAGGGAGAGUGUGAUUGAUCGACACUGUGCAUGUGUGCCCUUCUGGGCAGAUAAAGCAGAGCCCUGCGGGCGAGAGAGAAACCUGAGGUCACUUCAAAUGUGCAUGCACACACACACAACACGCACACACAUGACAGAUGCACUUCACACACAUGCACCCGCACACAGGCAUUCAUACACACAAGCAUGCAUACACACACAUCUACAUACCCACAUGCAUACACAUACAGACGCACACACCACGCACACGCACUCACAUACAUGCAGUCAUGCACACAUAUAUGCAUGCAGUCAUGCACACACAUAUGCAUGCACAUGCAGUAACAAAACAUGCCUACACAGUAGCAUACACGCGUGAACACGCACACACACUUAAAACACAUACAGAUCUUCACAAAGGCAUACUCUCACAUAUGUAUACACAUGCAUACAUGCCCACACACACACUGAUACAGGUAUACACACCCGUAUAUACACUUACACACAUGCAUACUCAUACACAUACACACAAAGCUUCAUGCAGGAGGACCCCAAAUCCCUUGCAAGAAGAAGUCACUUUCCCUGACACUACCACCUACCCACCCCCGGAAAGGACCCCUGAGUCCCAGACAGGCAGCAGCAACGGGCCCAUCUUCAUGUAUGUUCUUGUAGAAGUCAACAGCGAGGCAAAGAUUCAGGGGGCAGAUAGUUUGUUGGGAGAUGGUUCCAGAAAGGGGGAAGGAGUGGGGAGCUGAGACAGGGAGGGAGAAAACUCAGUACAGAGGAACAAGGAGUGGGCCAGGUCUAUGGGGGGCAGGGCUGGGGAUGCUGUGGGGAGGACACCUCCACACCAGCCUGCAGGAGGAUGGGGAAGGAGGGCAAUGGAGCCACAGCCCCAGCCCCAUUGGGAAAGGGUUGUGGGGGCAGAGACCCUGAAAGCAGCAGGGCUUCCAGGCAGGAGGCUGUCAGCCUGCUGGGAACUGCUGACAGCAGCCCAGGUGACCUCAGGGAUGGCCAAGGUUGGGAGGGCACCUGCUCCAGGCACUGGAGAACAGCAUGUGUUCAGGGACCUGUACAGGGUCCCAGCAUGAGUCAGUGGCAGUGCCCUAACCCAACACGGGGCUUCAUCCUCCAUAGCAGGUGACAGUGCCCUGACCCCAGGCCCGGCUCCCUUCUUUUCUGCAGGUGAUAGCACCCUGACCCCCAGCUCUGGGCUCCUGUCUCUCCAUAGGAGGAAGCCUUAAUUUUAGCACCAAGUUUAAAGACCCAGCACCUGCAUAUCAUGUCGACGGCCCUCCCCUCUGUCCCUGGAGCCCUGCUCCCCGACUCCCUGGGCCUCACUGUAUCCUGUCCAUUCUCUGUGGCUGUGGCAUUGCUUCCUGGGUGAGGCCGUUCAUCACUCCCUGAAGCUCAGGUGGCCAGAGGCAGGCUCUGAUGCAGGUCUCUCCUUCACCUGGUCUAGCUCCUGCAGGCAUGAAGGAAUCCCUGUGCAAUGGGACCCCCCGAUCCUAUUGCUCCUGCAAAUUGCUGUCUUGGCAUUUGGGGUCAGAUAUCUGCCCUCACGGAAGCUGACUGUUAACUGCAGGCCUCAGCUUCAGACCAAGAAGGAAAUGAAGCCAGCCAAGGGGUGUUUCUGCCUCUUCAGUGGGUGUCCUAGCCAGGGAUUUCCAUGAGUCCCCUGUCCUUACAUGGCCUGCUGCCUGUGCCUGGCCUUGUCUCGGAUCUGACUUGUUUCCACCCCAUCCCUUGUUUCCCCAUCCAGUGCAAAGCAUCUGUGCGACUUGGGGUCUUUGACCUGGUGCUACACCUUAUGGAAGCUGGGGAGGGACCAAAACCAGAUGCAGAGCCUCCCAGUCGGGGCUGGAGCCUGGGAAUGCAGGAAGGUCUCUGGACUUUUCCAUCUCAAUUGGCCACUUAGGAAGCAUACAAAGAACAGGACCACACAGGUACACACAUGCCCACACACACAGCUCACCACAUGCUCGCAUACACACAUGCGCACACACACACACUCCAACACACGCACACACAUCCCCAUAUGCACACAUACACACGUGCAUGCAUAUACACAUGCACACAUGACACACAGACAUACACACACACGUGCGCGUGCACACACACACACACACACGAAGCUGGCCUUUCUGGCAAACAUCAGCUGUCUCAUGGGGAAAGCAGCUGCCAUGGGGAUGGGAGGGCCUGGCUGGGGAAGAUGUUGGCCACGGGCGGGAGUCUCUCUCAGCUGUGAGAAAGUUCCCUCCUCUGAGUUGCUCUAAAGUUAGGAAUAGAGCCUGCUCCUUCCCUUUGACAGGUGUCCUGAGGUCAGUGCUAAGGUUGUUCAAGGAAAGUAAGGAACGACAGGGCAGAAACGUCAAGGGAGGAAGGAAAGGAAGAAAGGGCGGAUCUGAAGGGAGCCCUGCCUGCAAGAUGCCAGGGGUAACACCUUCCUCCACAGGGCCAGACCCGAGGGUUUCUGGGCCGUGACUCUGGCUAAGCCCUUCACGGCUCUGGGCUGCAAAAGGAGGAUCACAGCACCUCCAGUGGGUGGGCAGGAUUACUUAAGAUGACGCAGGACAGCGCCCAGAGCAGCUUGGUGCUCCGGGAACGCCUUCCGCGGAAUGAAGCGGCCCAUGCCCUUGUUGACAUUGAUGUUUCCGUCUUCAAAGACGAUCUUGCCCUGGCUGAUGACCACUAGUGGGGAGCCGUGGCACUCCAUACCCUCGAAGAUGUUGUACUCCACUGCCUGCACCAACAGCCUCAGCGUUACUUCCCAGGAUUUUCUCUGCUCCAAACGAGCUGUUCAUAACAGCGAUUUUGCCUAACAUUAUAUCAUAAGCGUGUUCCAAUGUUUUUUUUCUCUCUAAAAAUACCUUUUAUUGACUGUGUAAUAUUCCACUGUAUGGUCCACAGUGUAUAUAACCAACAACUCACCGUUGCGCAUGUAGGCUGCUGGUGGCUUUCUAUAAUCACAUCAAUAUUGUUCUGGGAGGAAGGGGGUCCCCCUGGGGUUAUGCAAUGUGGCUGCUUUGACUAUACUGGACAUAAAAAUAAGUAAAAUGUUCUUUAUUUUACUUAAAAUGUCUCUUUAAAUAAAAU
RNAcentral lists this long non-coding RNA (4034 nucleotides) under Pan troglodytes (chimpanzee). RNAcentral's name for it is "long non-coding RNA NONPTRT012381". The record is from RNAcentral. Lineage: Eukaryota; Metazoa; Chordata; Mammalia; Primates; Hominidae.